AUGACGGCUCAUAAGUUUCAGUAUACUAAAAAAAAGUUUUUGAAAAAGCUUUCUGACUGGAUUGAAAAAUAUGCUUCUUGUGGAGUCAAGGAAGAUUUAAUAAAAAUAGUAAUUCAGGCUCUACCUGCAUACGCUAUGGGGAUUUUCAAAUUCCCGGUUUCUCUUUGUGAGGAGUUAUCCUAGAUUAUAAGGAAUUUUUGGUGGAGAGAUGAAGAAGAUAGAAGGAAAACACAUUGGUUGGCGUGGGGCAAACUAACAAGACCUAAAGGUAAGGGUGGCAUGGGCUUUCGUGAUCUCAGACUUUUUAAUUAAGCUCUUUCAGCCAAACAGGCAUGGCAGUUGUUGGUUUAUCCGGACUCGCUGUGUGCGAAGUCGAUGAAAGCAAAGUAUUAUCCUCAGGAACAAAUUUUGAAUACGGUGUUUCCGCAUGCUACUUCAGUGAUGUGGCAAUGUAUUAGACAUGGUCUGGAACUUCUUAAGAAGGGGAUCAUUUAG
This 495-nucleotide ribosomal RNA is filed under the name Triticum aestivum (bread wheat). RNAcentral's name for it is "partial small subunit ribosomal RNA". Lineage: Eukaryota; Viridiplantae; Streptophyta; Magnoliopsida; Poales; Poaceae. The record is from RNAcentral.